Molecule: transfer RNA, 68 nt
Filed under: Marmota monax (woodchuck)
Lineage: Eukaryota; Metazoa; Chordata; Mammalia; Rodentia; Sciuridae
Description: tRNA.Ala
Source: RNAcentral
GGAUUGUGGCUCAGCGGUAGAGUGCUUGCCUAGCAUGCGUGAGGCCCUGGGUUCAAUCCUCAGUACCA